RNAcentral lists this ribosomal RNA (362 nucleotides) under uncultured Fastidiosipila sp. RNAcentral describes it as "bacterial SSU rRNA". It matches the Rfam family "Bacterial small subunit ribosomal RNA", at positions 1017 to 1382 of the family's 1533-position model. The record is from RNAcentral. Lineage: Bacteria; Bacillati; Bacillota; Clostridia; Eubacteriales; Oscillospiraceae.
CCUUCGGGACGAGAGAGACAGGUGGUGCAUGGUUGUCGUCAGCUCGUGUCGUGAGAUGUUGGGUUAAGUCCCGCAACGAGCGCAACCCUAUUGCCAGUUGCCAGCAUGAAAGAUGGCACUCUGGCGAGACUGCCGUUGACAAAACGGAGGAAGGUGGGGACGACGUCAAAUCAUCAUGCCCCUUAUGUCCUGGGCUACACACGUACUACAAUGGCAACAACAGAGGGCAGCCAGGCCGCGAGGCCGAGCGAAUCCCAAAAUGUUGUCUCAGUUCAGAUUGCAGGCUGAAACUCGCCUGCAUGAAGUCGGAAUUGCUAGUAAUGGCAGGUCAGCAUACUGCCGUGAAUACGUUCCCGGGCCUU